ACUUCCCCUGAGGCGCUGUGUGAGCACUGAGGCUGCUGUCCCAGGCUGAGCAGUAAUAGGCAGGCUUGUCCUUGGUCUGGAGGCCAGAGAUGGUCAGAGAUGCCAUGUUCCUAACCGGGAGCCAGGGAAUCUCUCUGAGAUCCCUGAGAGUUGGCUGUUUUUCCUGUUGAUCAGGUGUUUGGGGGCAUGGCCCUGGUGCUGCUGCGGCCAGACAGCUCCAUCUUUGCCAACAUUGUUGCUGUCCCCAGUGCAGUACAGGAGAGGGUGACCUUCUGUCCCACGGUCCCUGACACCGAGGCUUCCUGGGUCAGCGCAGACUGUGCCCAGGACCCUGGAACAGAGGAGGCAGGCACAGAGAGGUCCAUGGAGGUGAACCACCCAGCACCCCUCAGCCUCUUGGAACUUGCAGCCCACAGCCUGCUGAGCAAUGAGGCUUCAGUUCCACUGGUGUUGGAACAGCUCACAGUGAACCUUUUCCCGCCACUACUCACUGCUGCAUUUGCCAAGGGGCACAGAAAGGCUCUGAAGGCCUUGGUGCAGGCCUGGCCCUUCCGGUUUCUCCAUCUGGGCUCUCUGAUAGUGCAGUGGCCCAACCAAGACAGCCUGCAAGCUGUGGUGGAUGGGCUGGAGGCCUUUUCUGCCCACAGGGCUUGUCCCAGGAAGUCAGAACUGAGGAUGCUGGAUUUCACCCUGGACUCUGAGCAAGUCUUUUACUGUGGUAAAGGGGCUUCUGAAGCCUUGGCCAAGUUCCCAUUUUGGUUACCAUCAGCAGUCAAGGCAGAGACGCCCCAGGCCACGGCCAGGCCCAAGCCAUUAGAUAAGUUCCUCUCCGACCUCCUGACGAAAGUGGAACAGAGCCACGGGGCCCUGCAUCUCUGCUGUAGGAAGUUGCACAUUGAGAAGAUGGCCGUCGACAGUCUGCUGAGGAUCCUGAAGACACUCAGGCUGGAUUUCAUCCAGGAGCUGGAGGUGUUUUACUGGUGUAGAGACUUCUUGGUAUUGGCAGAGCCAAACCUAUCUGCCAUACAGCUGGGAAGGAUCUUCAACCUGCGCAGCCUCAAGCUCUUCUACUACAAGUGGGCCUUCUCCUCAUGGGUCAGGCGGCCCUCCAGCUACUUCUUCUCCCAGCUCACCAUGCUGGGCCACCUCCGGAAGCUGCACCUGUCUCACUCCUACCUCGUAGGCAAACUACAUUACAUACUCAGCUGUCUGUGGGUCCCACUACAUUCCCUGGAGAUCUGCAACUGCAAGCUUCUGGACACUGACAUCACCUACUUGUCCCGGAGCCAUCAUACCACCUGCCUGAAGAAGCUGGAUCUGAGCGUCAACGACUUGUCCUACAUGAUCCCUGGGCCCUUGGGUACCCUGCUGAGGGCAGUCUCAGGGACACUGCAGCACCUAGACCUGAAACACUGCUGGCUGAAGGAUGCCCACCUCAGUGCCCUCCUGCCCGCCCUGUGCCGCUGCUCCCACCUCAGUUCCCUGAGCCUCUCCGACAACCCCAUCUCCAGUGCCUGCCUCCUGAGCCUGCUGGAGCACACCAUGGGGCUGAUGGAGCUGAAGCAGGUACUCUAUCCCAUCCCAGUUGACUGCUGCAUCUACCUGCAUGGCGUCUGCCGGGGUCCUGUGAACGAGGACAAGCUGUGCCAGUUGCAGGCCGAGAUACAGAAGCAGCUGCAAGCCAUGCAGCAGGCUGACAUGCAGUGGAGCCCCUCCACUGUCUUUGCUUAUGCAGCUGGUGCAGUUUGAAUGAAGAACAGGAGCCAGGCUCAGGGAACAGAAGUCAGAGAGGGCAGCUGGAAUCACAGCUGAGGCCACAUGUUGUUUGCAAGGAACAUAAAAUAAACUUCCAUGGGAACU
RNAcentral lists this long non-coding RNA (1860 nucleotides) under Homo sapiens (human). RNAcentral's name for it is "non-protein coding lnc-TOP3B-1:1". Lineage: Eukaryota; Metazoa; Chordata; Mammalia; Primates; Hominidae. The record is from RNAcentral.